RNAcentral lists this ribosomal RNA (393 nucleotides) under uncultured bacterium. RNAcentral's name for it is "bacterial SSU rRNA". It matches the Rfam family "Bacterial small subunit ribosomal RNA", at positions 27 to 424 of the family's 1533-position model. The record is from RNAcentral.
GGACGAACGCUGGCGGCGUGCUUAACACAUGCAAGUCGAGCGGUAAGGCCCUUUCGGGGGUACACGAGCGGCGAACGGGUGAGUAACACGUGGGUGACCUGCCCUUAGCUCUGGGAUAAGCCUGGGAAACUGGGUCUAAUACCGGAAAUGACUCCAUGACGCAUGUUGUGGGGUGGAAAGCCUUGUGCGGCUAGGGAUGGGCCCGCGGCCUAUCAGCUUGUUGGUGGGGUGAUGGCCUACCAAGGCGACGACGGGUAGCCGGCCUGAGAGGGCGACCGGCCACACUGGGACUGAGACACGGCCCAGACUCCUACGGGAGGCAGCAGUGGGGAAUCUUGCGCAAUGGGCGAAAGCCUGACGCAGCGACGCCGCGUGGGGAUGACGGCCUCGGUU